UACGGGGGGGGGCAAGCGUUGUUCGGAAUUACUGGGCGUAAAGGGUGCGUAGGCGGUUCUCUAAGUCGGAUGUGAAAACUCUGGGCUCAACCCAGAGCCUGCAUCCGAAACUGGAGGACUAGGGUUCUGGAGGGGAAAGCGGAAUUCCUGGUGUAGCGGUGAAAUGCGUAGAUAUCAGGAGGAACACCGGUGGCGAAGGCGGCUUCUGGACAGAUACCGACGCUGAGGCACGAAAGCUAGGGGAGCAAACAGG
RNAcentral lists this ribosomal RNA (253 nucleotides) under uncultured bacterium. RNAcentral's name for it is "partial 16S ribosomal RNA". It matches the Rfam family "Bacterial small subunit ribosomal RNA", at positions 524 to 776 of the family's 1533-position model. The record is from RNAcentral.